GUGGGGAAUCUUGCGCAAUGGGCGAAAGCCUGACGCAGCCAUGCCGCGUGAAUGAUGAAGGUCUUAGGAUUGCAAAAUUCUUUCACCGGGGACGAUAAUGACGGUACCCGGAGAAGAAGCCCCGGCUAACUUCGUGCCAGCAGCCGCGGUAAUACGAAGGGGGCUAGCGUUGCUCGGAAUUACUGGGCGUAAAGGGCGCGUAGGCGGACAGUUUAGUCAGAGGUGAAAGCCCAGGGCUCAACCUUGGAAUUGCCUUUGAUACUGGCUGUCUUGAGUACGGGAGAGGUGAGUGGAACUCCGAGUGUAGUGGUGAAAUUCGUAGAUAUUCGGAAGAACACCAGUGGCGAAGGCGACUCACUGGCCCGUUACUGACGCUGAGGCGCGAAAGCGUGGGGAGCAAACAGGAUUAGAUACCCCUGUAGUCC
Molecule: ribosomal RNA, 425 nt
Filed under: uncultured bacterium
Lineage: Bacteria
Description: partial 16S ribosomal RNA
Rfam family: Bacterial small subunit ribosomal RNA
Source: RNAcentral